Molecule: ribosomal RNA, 492 nt
Filed under: uncultured bacterium
Lineage: Bacteria
Description: partial 16S ribosomal RNA
Rfam family: Bacterial small subunit ribosomal RNA
Source: RNAcentral
GAUGAACGCUAGCUACAGGCUUAACACAUGCAAGUCGAGGGGAAACGACAUCGAAAGCUUGCUUUUGAUGGGCGUCGACCGGCGCACGGGUGAGUAACGCGUAUCCAACCUGCCCACCACUUGGGGAUAACCUUGCGAAAGUAAGACUAAUACCCAAUGAUAUCCCACGAAGACAUCUGAAUGGGAUUAAAGAUUUAUCGGUGAUGGAUGGGGAUGCGUCUGAUUAGCUUGUUGGCGGGGUAACGGCCCACCAAGGCAACGAUCAGUAGGGGUUCUGAGAGGAAGGUCCCCCACAUUGGAACUGAGACACGGUCCAAACUCCUACGGGAGGCAGCAGUGAGGAAUAUUGGUCAAUGGGCGAGAGCCUGGACCAGCCAAGUAGCGUGCAGGAAGACGGCCCUAUGGGUUGUAAACUGCUUUUAUAAGGGAAUAAAGUGGGUCACGUGUGACUUUUUGCAUGUACCUUAUGAAUAAGGACCGGCUAAUUCCGUG